This 245-nucleotide ribosomal RNA is filed under the name uncultured bacterium. RNAcentral describes it as "partial 16S ribosomal RNA". It matches the Rfam family "Bacterial small subunit ribosomal RNA", at positions 15 to 252 of the family's 1533-position model. The record is from RNAcentral.
GAUCAUGGCUCAGGAUAAACGCUAGCGGCAGGCCUAACACAUGCAAGUCGAGGGGCAGCAGGGAAGUAGCUUGCUACUUCUGCUGGCGACCGGCGCACGGGUGCGUAACGCGUAUGCAACCUACCUUUAACAGGGGGAUAAUCCGAAGAAAUUUGGUCUAAUACCCCAUAAUAUUGAUUAAGGCAUCUUGAUCAGUUGAAAGUUCCGACGGUUAAAGAUGGGCAUGCGUUGUAUUAGCUAGUUGG